GUAAUCAUAUGCUUGUCUCAAAGAUUAAGCCAUGCAUGUCUAAGUACAUGCCGAAAUAAGGCGAAACCGCGAAUGGCUCAUUAAAUCAGUUAUGGUUCCUUAGAUCGUUUCUUCCUACUUGGAUAACUGUGGCAAUUCUAGAGCUAAUACAUGCAGUGAGCCUGAAGCCCUUUGGGCGACGGGUGCUUUUAUUAGACCAAGAUCGAUCGGGUUUCGGCCCGUAUUGUGUGGUGACUCUGGAUAACUUUGUGCUGAUCGCAUGGCCACGAGCCGGCGACGUUUCUUUCAAGUGUCUGCCUUAUCAACUUUCGAUGGUAGGUUACUUGCUUACCAUGGUUGUUACGGGUAACGGAGAAUCAGGGUUCGAUUCCGGAGAGGGAGCCUGAGAAACGGCUACCACAUCCAAGGAAGGCAGCAGGCGCGCAAAUUACCCACUCCCGGCACGGGGAGGUAGUGACGAAAAAUAACAAUACGGGACUCUUUUGAGGCCCCGUAAUUGAAAUGAGUACACUCUAAAUCCUUUAACGAGGAUCAAUUGGAGGGCAAGUCUGGUGCCAGCAGCCGCGGUAAUUCCAGCUCCAAUAGCGUAUACUAAAGCUGCUGCGGUUAAAAAGCUCGUAGUUGGAUCUCAGUUCCAGACGAGUAGUGCAUCUACCCGAUGCGACGGCUCGGACUGAACAUCAUGCCGGUCCUUUCUUGGUGCACUUCAUUGUGUGCCUCGAGAAGGCCGGUGCUUUUACUUUGAAAAAAUUAGAGUGCUCAACGCAGGCGAGUCGCCUGAAUAAACUUGCAUGGAAUAAUAGAACAAGACCUCGUUUCUGUUCUGUUGGUUUUUGGAAUACGAGGUAAUGAUUAAGAGGGACAGACGGGGGCAUUCGUAUUGCGGCGCUAGAGGUGAAAUUCUUGGACCGUCGCAAGACGAACUACUGCGAAAGCAUUUGCCAAGAAUGUUUUCUUUGAUCAAGAACGAAAGUCAGAGGUUCGAAGGCGAUCAGAUACCGCCCUAGUUCUGACCAUAAACGAUGCCAACCAGCGAUCCGCCUGAGUUACUCAAAUGACUCGGCGGGCAGCUUCCGGGAAACCAAAGUGUUUGGGUUCCGGGGGAAGUAUGGUUGCAAAGCUGAAACUUAAAGGAAUUGACGGAAGGGCACCACCAGGAGUGGAGCCUGCGGCUUAAUUUGACUCAACACGGGAAAACUUACCCGGCCCGGACACUGGGAGGAUUGACAGAUUGAGAGCUCUUUCUUGAUUCGGUGGAUGGUGGUGCAUGGCCGUUCUUAGUUGGUGGAGCGAUUUGUCUGGUUAAUUCCGAUAACGAACGAGACUCUAGCCUAUUAAAUAGGUGCGGGGUUCCCAGCACCUUACAACCUUCUUAGAGGGACAAGCGGCUCCUAGCCGCACGAAACAGAGCAAUAACAGGUCUGUGAUGCCCUUAGAUGUCCGGGGCCGCACGCGCGCUACACUGAAGGAAGCAGCGUGUCUUUAUCCCUGUCUGAAAAGACUGGGUAACCCGUGGAACUUCUUUCGUGAUUGGGAUAGGGGCUUGCAAUUGUUCCCCUUGAACGAGGAAUUCCCAGUAAGCGCGAGUCAUAAGCUCGCGUUGAUUACGUCCCUGCCCUUUGUACACACCGCCCGUCGCUACUACCGAUUGAAUGAUUUAGUGAGGUCUUCGGACCGAUGUCCGGCGCGGCCUUUCGGUUGCGCCGGUCUGUUGGAAAGAUGACCAAACUUGAUCAUUUAGAGGAAGUAAAAGUCGUAACAAGGUUUCCGU
RNAcentral lists this ribosomal RNA (1771 nucleotides) under Dermacentor niveus. RNAcentral's name for it is "SSU rRNA". It matches the Rfam family "Eukaryotic small subunit ribosomal RNA". The record is from RNAcentral. Lineage: Eukaryota; Metazoa; Arthropoda; Arachnida; Ixodida; Ixodidae.